AGGUGAUGUGUGGUGAGCGUUCUGGAACAAAAUGGCCACCGUGCAUCACCCUGGUUGGUGGUGGCGUCUGAGAGGAGAUAAUGAGGCCCGGGCUCCCGUUGACGUGGUCCAGCUUGGGAGCCCUGAAGCUCGGUCAAAUUGCCCGAGAUUGGCUCUCAGGAUCGAUCUUUGCCUGACAGGCCCGGCCUUCCGUCUACGAGCCUGAACUAUGUGAAGCGUUUCUGCGUUCAAUUCUCCUGGAGAAAAAGGGAGCAGACGUGACUAUGCCUCAGGACCCUGGUGCCGCAAACCAGACUCGACAGGAAGUGCCUCCGGUUCCCGCAGACUGUGUUCACAGCGAGCCACAUUUAAAAACCA
This is a long non-coding RNA of Anguilla anguilla (European eel), 357 nucleotides long. RefSeq lists it as uncharacterized. Lineage: Eukaryota; Metazoa; Chordata; Actinopteri; Anguilliformes; Anguillidae. The transcript has 3 exons. The record is from RefSeq and is a predicted model, not a curated record.